RNAcentral lists this ribosomal RNA (393 nucleotides) under Labyrinthulaceae sp. RNAcentral describes it as "partial small subunit ribosomal RNA". It matches the Rfam family "Eukaryotic small subunit ribosomal RNA", at positions 582 to 975 of the family's 1831-position model. Lineage: Eukaryota; Bigyra; Labyrinthulida; Labyrinthulaceae. The record is from RNAcentral.
AUUCCAGCUCCAAUAGCGUAUAUUAAAGUUGUUGCAGUUAAAAAGCUCGUAUUUGAAUUUUUGUCUGUUGGGGCCUUGUUCUGUCCUUAGUGGCGGAGUUUAGUGUCCCGUCGGACUUCCUGGGGGCCAACUAGUUGGUGUUUCAUUACACUGAUUAGGGAACCCCCUCGUUUACUGUGAAAAAAUUAGAGUGUUUCAAGCAGGCGUUUCGCAUUGAAUACAUUAGCAUGGAAUAAUAAGAUAGGACUUUGGUGCUAUUUUGUUGGUUUGCACACCAAGGUAAUGAUUAAGAGGGACAGUUGGGGGUAUUCGUAUUAUCAUGUCAGAGGUGAAAUUCUUGGAUUUUGGUAAGACGAACUACUGCGAAAGCAUUUACCAAGGAUGUUUUCAUCG